AUUGAACGCUGGCGGCAGGCCUAACACAUGCAAGUCGAACGAGUGGCGGACGGGUGAGUAAUGUCUGGGAAACUGCCCGAUGGAGGGGGAUAACUACUGGAAACGGUAGUUAAUACCGCAUACCAGCGGAUGUGCCGAGAUGGGAUUGUCUAGGCGGGGGGGUAACGGCUCACCUAGGCGACGAUCCCUAGCUGGUCUGAGAGGGUGACCAGCCAAACUGGAACUGAGACACGGUCCAGACUCCUACGGGAGGCAGCAGUGUGGAAUAUUGCACAAUGGGCGCAAGCCGGAUGCAGCCAUGCCGCGUGUAUGAAGAAGGCCUUCGGGUUGUAAAGUACUUUCAGCGAGGAGGCGUUACUCGCAGAAGAAGCACCGGCUAACUCCGUGCCAGCAGCCGCGGUAAUAC
Molecule: ribosomal RNA, 406 nt
Filed under: uncultured bacterium
Lineage: Bacteria
Description: partial 16S ribosomal RNA
Rfam family: Bacterial small subunit ribosomal RNA
Source: RNAcentral